GGAAGGCGCAGGCGCGGGGCUGCCGCUGCCGGGCGGGGGCUGUCGGCGGGGCCGACGUUUGUUCUGCGCCCGGGCUCCGGCGGUGCCGCUCCAGAGGCACAGAGCUCCGCGGAGCCGGCCCGCGCACCGCUGUGCUGAGUGAGGUCUUCCCACAUCCCAACCAGCCACUGGCGUGGGGGAAGCUGCGCUCCCAGCCACCCCCCAAAACUAAUGGUUGUCAGGCAGCGGGAUACGAGAUUUCGAGGGGCAGGUCAGAAAAAGGAGUCGCUGAAAAGUACAGGAACUGUGCUGGAAAAUGAGCAUAAGAGACUUGAAAGCCCUGGGUCGGAGGGAGUGCCGAUGUCUGAUCAUGAGCCAGCUUGAAGACCAGUGGCAUCCAGGCCUGUAUCAGCAAUAGUGUGGCCAGCAGGAUGAGGACAGUGAUUGUGGUUUGUGGAGGUCGGUGGGCCAGUAGUACAAAGGACAAAGGGUGUCCAUUGGUGGAACAGACCCUAGUACCAAAGAACCUCCCCAGGUUAGUUCGACAAGAGGUUUCCCCCAGGAUGCUUUGUCUUGUUAUGGUAAUGCACCCCAGUUCUGCUUCCCUGGUUGGUCCAUUGGCCUCCCUGCCCCUUGUUACAUGUCCCCGAUCUAGAAGGUUCUCCACUCCCUGUUCUCCCAUUGGCCCCUGCCCCAUCGCCACUCCCUCAGUUUCCCCAUUAGUUCUCUUACCCUAACCCCGCCUGUGUACUGCCCCCGACCCCUCAGAUCAUUGGUCCCUGAUGCUCCCUCCACUCCCGUAUAGAAACCUGAACCCUCCCAUGUUCUUUGGCUGUGUCUCUGGACCCUUUCACGUGUGUGGCUGCAUUAAACUCCUCCUGUGGAACCCCAUAUGAAGACCCUUCCCGUCUCUUUGUUGUUGACACAUUUUCUGGAGCUAUCCGCAUGUGUGUGCGUGUGUACGUGUGUAUGAGUGUGUGGUGGUCCUGCCGAGCGGCUUCACCUUGGAGACGCUUUCAGGAGGUUGCGGCAUCUCACCAUCCAGCACUGCAGGCAGCCCCGUGUAGCAAAGUGGCACCCAAACAGGGACUGUUACCACUCGUCCCUGGAAGCGGGCCCCUCUCAAAAGGUACCACUGGCGUGUCAUCCCUCAGGGGAGGAAAAACUCACCAUCAAUUUGCCAGUGGUACGUGGCCCACAUCCUCUCACCUAUAAGAAAGACAUUUCCAGACACCAUCAUCCUGCACUACAUGGACGGUAUUUUAAUCUGUUCCCGGGACCAGUCCUAUUUGGACAUUGUGCUAUCGAGGACCAUCAAGACCAUCAAAGAAGCCAGUUUUGAAAUAUGCAAGGACAAGAUUCAGUGCACCUGCCCCUGGACCUACCUGGGACUCCGGAUCGGCGAGCGGACUGUCAUACCCCAGCAGCUCACCAUCAGGGACAACCCAAGGACCCUCCACGACCUCCACCAGCUCUGCGGGUCCAUUAAUUGGGUGCGUCCACUGCUGGGGAUUACAACAGAGGAGCUUGCGCCACUCUUCAACCUUGUCCGAGGCAGCAAGGACCUCGACUCUCCGUGAACCAUCACCCCGGAGGCCCAGGAGUCUAUCAGGAAGGUGCAGGAAGGCUUGUCCUCGCGGCAGGUGCAUUGAGUAGACCCCACACUGCCACUCAACUUGAUUGUCCCACGUAAGUCGCCCAGGUUCAAUGUGCUAAGUUUUCAAUGGGAUGUGACACUGAAGGACCCACUCCUCAUCAUCGAGUGGGUCUUCCUUCACAAUCAGCCAAUUAAAACUAUCACAACACCACAAGAGCUCAUGGCUCAGCUAAUCAUUAAAGCCAGAGCACACCUCCGCACCCUUGCAGGAUGUGAUUUCACAUGCAUUUACCUUCCCCUUACACUGGGGUUCUGGACCAUUUGCUCCAGAACAACAAGCACCUCCAGUUCACCCUUGACAGCUACACAGGUCAAAUUUCCAUCCACAGACCCAGUCAUAAGCUCUUCAAUUCAGUCUUUCAUUUGGCGCUAAAACCCCUCCAAAGACAUACCCAUCUCAAGGCCCUGACAGUUUUUACAGAUGGCUCGCACGGCUCCCAGAAGUCAGUUAUGACUUGGAAAGAUCCAAAGAUGCAGAAGUGGGAGUCUGAUGUCCAAAUUGUUGAGGGAUCCCCGCAGAUUGCAGAGCUAGCAGCUGUUGUCAGGGCUUUUGAGAGAUUCAAAGAACCGAUUAAUUUGGUCAUGGAUUCGGCAUAUGUAGCUGGUGUAACUGCUAGGGCCGAACACUCUUUGCUAAAAGAGGUGAGCAAUCCAAAUUUAUACAGGUUGCUUCUGAGGUUAAUCUACCUCCUCUCUCACUGAAAGCAAUCAUUCCAUAUAAUGCGUGUGAGGUCACACACCAACCUCCCAGGGCCCAUCGCAGAGGGCAAUAGAAGAGCGGAUGCCCUGGCCAUGCCUCUCCAGAAUGCCAGCAUACCAGACGUCUUUUCACAAGCCAAGCUGAGCUAUGAGUUCUAUCAUCAAAGUGGACCAGCCCUCAUGCAGAUGUUCCAUCUGCCGUGUGACCAAGCGAGGGCUAUCGUUGCAACCUGUCCCAACUGCCAGCACUACCAACUGCCGUUGUUGGGUUCCGGGGUUAACCCCUGAGGACUCAACAGCAGCCAGUUGUGGCAGACUGAUGUCACCCACUACCCGGUUUUCAGCAGGCAAAAGUACAUACACGUGUCCACUGACACAUUUUCAGGAGCGGUGUUUGCCUUCGCCGACACAGGAGAGAAGACCAAAGAUACCAUCAGGCACUUCCUCCUCGCGUUUGCAACCUUAGGCGUCCCGGAACAAAUCAAAACAGACAACGGCCCUGCUUACACCUCCCACAAAUUUAGAGAUUUCUUUAAUCAGUGGGGGGUUAAGCACGGCACUGGCAUACCCCAUUCUCCUACAGGAUAGUAAAUUGUUGAGGGGGCCCACUGUACCAUAAAGCAAGUCCUUGAUAACAGUGGGGAGGGACAGAGAUCAGUCCUCUCAUUGAAAGGCUCUGUAGGCCCUUUUCACAAUGAAUUUCCUGAACUGCUCAUUCAUGGAGCCAACCCCCCCAGUAUUCUGGCACUUCUCCAUUUCAGCCCAAGCUAAGCUCAAUCAGAAGCCUCCAGUACUGAUCAAGGAUCUUGAGAGCCAACAAAUAUUGGGCCCUUUCCCUUUAAUAACCUGGGGGAAGGGAUAUGCCUGUGUAUCAACACCGUCAGGCCUGAAGUGGCUUCCAGGCAAGAACAUCAAGCCCUACACUGGCCCGGCAAACACUGCUCCCAUGGACACAACUUCGAAAGAGACGAAUAGGGUGCAACCUCAAAACCAGAAAAGUGCAGCAUGGAGAUGGAGACAGUGCAGAUCUCCACCACCAACACUGACCUGCCGUCCCACAACCAGAGCCUCCACCAGAGGCAACUGCCAGAGCCCAUGCCCGCAUUCACCAUCAUGAUGCCCAGCACUUGCCUCACCACUAUCUUCUGGAUGCUCCUGACAACAUCAGCCAUGGAUGCAUGGAUGGUAGUGCAGCCCAAAGAAGACGUCUGGUGAAAGCAUCCACACCAGCAUCCACAAGAUGAGGGACUUAAUCACGGACUUAAAGAAGGAAAAACCACCUGAGUGGCUUGAGGACCUGCUGGGACAAUGGGGGCUCAAAGGGUGACUUGCUUCCCUGUUGAGGGUUGCGUUGUGGGCCUUUGGGUCACAACAACCCCUGCAGCACUAAAGGCUGGAGGAAGAGCAGCUGGAAAACUGCCUGGUGGAAAAAGACCUGGGAGUGUUGGUGGACAGCAGCUGAACGUGAGCCAGUGAGUGCCCAGAGAUGUUACUUGUGGGGGAAAAGAGGACUUCUGUCUGCACGACUUCAAAGGUUAUUGGACAUUGAGGCCAUGUCCUUUUCCAGUUUCAUCCUGUGAUGCAGGACUGGGUCCAUCUUCAUGAGCUCCUCUCACAUGUGCUCUGCCAGGACACCCCAUCUCCCAUGAGCCUGCACUCAUCUCAGCUUUCUGCCAUGGCCCUUUGCUGGAAGAAGGGUAACAGGGAUCCCCUAGCCACAGUUGGAACAAAGAAUCUGUGGAAAAGCAUAACACAGCUGGCAAGUGGGAGUAAAGGAAAGGAGGAAAUGGUGUUAUGCUAAGCAUUUAAUUCUGAUGGUUUUUGCUAUCAUGUACUUAGCAUCAUGAUGCAGCUAUGCUAAAAAGACCAAAAGCACCUAAAGUGGCAAAAGAAAUCAGUGUGGGAGAAGAUAGAAGGAAUAUGGAAUGUCUUCCAAAUACUCACAUUUCUUUACAUGUACCUAAGGCUGAAAUGUGAAUUGUGUAGGUAUAGACUGUGUGCUGACAAUUAGAAAUGUAUUUAAAAUGUAUGUGCACUUUUCUGAAAACCUGUUUCUGCGGUUCACUGCAAAGUGACAGCCAAGGAAGCAGAUAUCCUGAGUAUCUGACACUUUUUUCCAGUGUAGCCGAACAAUAAAAAGAAGUUAGAAGUUUAAGCUCUUUUUGCACUCAAAUUUCCUGAAAAUAAAUGUGAAUUAGAAUUAGUGAUUCUGAACAUAAGCACAGUUUCGUGAAUACAGCAACUGGAUCUUGGCAAAUGAAAUUUGUGGUGAUAAAACAGGUAGACUGGCUCAAAGUCAUUUCAGAACAUUUAUGAUAUGAUACUUCUCUUCAGUCAUGUCUUCCACUUGGAAGUUCUGUAUCUGAAAUAAGUAUUCCAGUGCUUCAGAAUACUUCAUUUAAAAGUCAUUGACAAUUUCAACAGGAACGGCAGUUUAAAAAUAAACAUACUUAUUCUUCACCUUUAUGUACCUACUAAAGCUGAAGUGGUUUGCAGUUACAGAACUUAUAAAAUAGAGUGAAUUCAAAGGUGAGUCGUCCAAAUGAUGUUAAAUAAUUAUAAUUCCUUUUGAAUUUAUACAAGUCCUAACUGUUGCUUACACAAAAUGUUACUAUAUCCACUGUAUGUACUGCCAUUCUGAACCACAGAUGUGGCAUAAUGAGCAUACAGUGGUUCUUGAUAUAUUACAUGCCACUUGGAGAGACACAAAAUAAUCUUUCUAAUGUGCACAUGUAUUUGUGCCUUUGCCAACUAUUAGUUUUCAUUUUUAACAUGUAUAGACUGUUUUCAGUAUUCACAGAAAAGAUCAGUCAUUUCUAACGGAGAGUGUAUUAAUUUUCCUCAAGCCUUACUUCAUGAUAUACUGUAGAAACUUUGUAGCAGUGAUAAUUAAUGUAAAUCUGGAAUAUCAAGUUCUAAAACAACACUGGGAAAAAUGAUUCAUUGUGACUAGUUGAAGAAAAUAUUUUCUGUGGUGUAGCACCUCAGCAUCUGAGCUUAUGAUAUUCAGUAGUACCGUUUCCUGAAUAUUUUUCAGAAAAGUGUGUCAGUGAUCUCCAUUUAUUAUACAGGCUUUUGUGAAGGAGUUUUUUCUUAAAAGCAAAGUAAUAGAAUGAGUUUCUGCUUAGAAUUGAGAGUAAACAGACCUUAGUCACCAAUAAAGAAUACCAUAGGAAAAAAUGAAAGCUGUGAUAUCUGAUGAAGGUAAUACUUUCUCUUUUUGCAACCUAGAGAGGACAAAGAGCUACUGUUUUAAAGAUUACAUUGGUAGUAAUUUAGAAGAGUGGUAGUGUAUUAUCAGAUAAAAGAAAGUGAAGAGUAUACCUACAUGAUUAAGAAUUUUAUGAUGUACAGUAUUAAUGUGCACUACUUAGUAGUUUAGGGUAGUAAAAAAUCCAUAGUUGCAACGCCCAUAUUAUUUUUUUUUUGUAUUUAGCAGUGUGGUAUAUUGCCAGAAUUAAAUUAAUAGAGGUGUUUGCACAGCAGUGCUUUUGCCAUACAUCAGUGCAAGUGGAAAUGUCAAAAUGUGGUCAAUAAGGGGGUGAACCACUGUGUUCUGUGGUGCUGUGAACUGGAGCCUUUAUGGGGAGAGCAGCAGCAACAGACAACUGUAAUACUUCCCACCCUCCUGUAAUCAGUGAAGUUUUAGAAAAUUAAUCCUUACCCUGCUGUUCUCUCUUGCACUUUAGUCUACAUAGAGGAAUUUUACAUCAUAUUUAAAGAAAAUCUACUAACAUGCAGUAAGGUAUUACUGCAUAGUACUAGUUUGCUUUAGACCAGGCAGAGAAUCAUUUAGGUGAGUGUUGGUUUCAGUAGUUAAGUUUGGAGCAGUUCAGAACACUGUUACUUGAAGAGGAUGAAGCUACUUAAAUCCGCUGCACUAGAGCACAGACUCAAGGAAGUUGGGGAAUUUGGACAAUACCAAACACAAGCUUUGAAAAACCUCUUAGUACCAGACUUCUCCCGCUUCCUACAGAUUAGGCCUCCUGCUGACUAUUUGUACUUCUCAAAUGUGUAAGAGAUUUAGGCGUUAAUGUCUGCACCUCGGUUCACCUACCUUUGAAACAGCAGUGGUAAUUCUGACUUAAAUAUUGUGAUGAUACAUUAAUAAAUAUGAGCAAAACUCUUUGAAGUUGAAAAAUAUACUGAGAUUUAAGUACAUUCCUUUUUGUCAUGAUUAACCUGUCAGAUGUUUAAGUGCUGAAACACUGCUUUUGGAAAAAAAAAAAAAAAAAAAAAGAGAAAUGCCAGUUAAGAUAAUAAAGAAGUCAAGA
Molecule: long non-coding RNA, 6609 nt
Organism: Corvus hawaiiensis (hawaiian crow)
Lineage: Eukaryota; Metazoa; Chordata; Aves; Passeriformes; Corvidae
Exons: 3
Source: RefSeq, a predicted model, not a curated record